This 560-nucleotide ribosomal RNA is filed under the name Pseudomonas sp. Ni47. RNAcentral describes it as "bacterial SSU rRNA". It matches the Rfam family "Bacterial small subunit ribosomal RNA", at positions 34 to 589 of the family's 1533-position model. The record is from RNAcentral. Lineage: Bacteria; Pseudomonadati; Pseudomonadota; Gammaproteobacteria; Pseudomonadales; Pseudomonadaceae.
CGCUGCCGGCAGGCCUAACACAUGCAAGUCGAGCGGAUGAAGGGAGCUUGCUCCUGAAUUCAGCGGCGGACGGGUGAGUAAUGCCUAGGAAUCUGCCUGGUAGUGGGGGACAACGUUUCGAAAGGAACGCUAAUACCGCAUACGUCCUACGGGAGAAAGCAGGGGACCUUCGGGCCUUGCGCUAUCAGAUGAGCCUAGGUCGGAUUAGCUAGUUGGUGAGGUAAUGGCUCACCAAGGCGACGAUCCGUAACUGGUCUGAGAGGAUGAUCAGUCACACUGGAACUGAGACACGGUCCAGACUCCUACGGGAGGCAGCAGUGGGGAAUAUUGGACAAUGGGCGAAAGCCUGAUCCAGCCAUGCCGCGUGUGUGAAAAAGGUCUUCGGAUUGUAAAGCACUUUAAGUUGGGAGGAAGGGUUGUAAAUUAAUACUCUGCAAUUUUGACGUUACCGACAGAAUAAGCACCGGCUAACUCUGUGCCAGCAGCCGCGGUAAUACAGAGGGUGCAAGCGUUAAUCGGAAUUACUGGGCGUAAAGCGCGCGUAGGGGGUCGUUAAUUGG